UCUGUAGCUCAGUCGGUAGAGCAAGGGACUGAAAAUCCCUGUGUCGGCGGUUCGAUUCCACCCGG
Molecule: transfer RNA, 65 nt
Filed under: human gut metagenome
Also listed under: 1 other name
Rfam family: tRNA
About the family: Transfer RNA (tRNA) molecules are approximately 80 nucleotides in length. Their secondary structure includes four short double-helical elements and three loops (D, anti-codon, and T loops). Further hydrogen bonds mediate the characteristic L-shaped molecular structure. tRNAs have two regions of fundamental functional importance: the anti-codon, which is responsible for specific mRNA codon recognition, and the 3' end, to which the tRNAs corresponding amino acid is attached (by aminoacyl-tRNA synthetases). tRNAs cope with the degeneracy of the genetic code in two manners: having more than one tRNA (with a specific anti-codon) for a particular amino acid; and 'wobble' base-pairing, i.e. permitting non-standard base-pairing at the 3rd anti-codon position.
Source: RNAcentral